GUAUUUACGUGUGCGCACCGUGUUCCCGAAUGUUUCUCUCUCUCGAAAGCGAAAAAUUCCCGUGGAACGACUGUCACGCGACAAGAGUGGCGAGGGCACUAAAAACCCUUUACUGCGUGUACACGUCGGAAACCCGACAGCGUUUUACGGCGAAAACGGAACACGCCGUUGCUCUCUCGGACCUUUUGUGGAACGGUGCUGCCGCGACCGAGGAAAUGAGCGAAAGAUCUUCCGGCGUUGAAUAGCCGGGCCGAAAAGGAAGCGAGGAACGACGUCGUCGAGCCACCGUCGACGAUCGAACAAAUAAUGACGGCCACGAGGAGGAACAUGAAUGACGCGUCCGGAAGACAUUUUCAUUCCAACAUGGCCGGGGUGAUACCGCUGAUACGUUGGAAUUGAAAUGGCUCCCUGAACUUAAUAGCUUUCGGGCAUAAAGAGAAAGAAGACCAGCAUAGGGUAAAAGGCGUCCGAUUGCCGAGAUUGUCAGGCGUACCGAGGCUUUCGUUUAUUCCGACGAUAAUCGCGACGAUGCGACGAAGAAUUGUAAACAACGAAAUUUUAAUGCAACAUUUGAUAUCACAUUUACCCACGGCGGAUCAUUUUCGUAACUGGACUACUUACGAUGUUUAUAACAAUUCUGUGCACUAUUCGGCAAUUUUUCGAAACAAUA
This is a long non-coding RNA of Megalopta genalis, 670 nucleotides long. RefSeq lists it as uncharacterized. The record is from RefSeq and is a predicted model, not a curated record. Lineage: Eukaryota; Metazoa; Arthropoda; Insecta; Hymenoptera; Halictidae.